CCUACGGGGAGCAGCAGUGGGGAAUAUUGGGCAAUGGAGGAAACUCUGACCCAGCAACGCCGCGUGAAUGAUGAAGGUCUUCGGAUUGUAAAGGUCUUUUUUAAGGGAAGAAGAAAGUGACGGUACCUUAGGAAUAAGCCUCGGCUAACUACGCGCCAGCAGCCGCGGUAAUACGUAGGAGGCAAUCGUUAUCCGGAAGUACUGGGCGUAAAGGGUGCGUAGGUGGUUUGACAAGUUGGUAGCGUAACUCCGGGGCUCAACCUCGGAACUACUACCCAAACUGUCGGACUUGAGUGCAGGAGUGGCAAAUGGAAUUCCUAGUGUAGCGGUGAAAUGCGUAGAUAUUAGGAGGAACACCAGUGGCGAAGGCGAUUUGCUGGACUGUAACUGACACUGAGGCACGAAAGCGUGGGGAGCAAACAGGAUUAGAUACCCUUGUAGUC
This 443-nucleotide ribosomal RNA is filed under the name uncultured bacterium. RNAcentral describes it as "partial 16S ribosomal RNA". It matches the Rfam family "Bacterial small subunit ribosomal RNA", at positions 338 to 795 of the family's 1533-position model. The record is from RNAcentral.